RNAcentral lists this ribosomal RNA (1256 nucleotides) under metagenome. RNAcentral's name for it is "SSU rRNA". It matches the Rfam family "Eukaryotic small subunit ribosomal RNA", at positions 1 to 1290 of the family's 1831-position model. The record is from RNAcentral.
UCUGGUUGAUCCUGCCAGUAGUCAUAUGCUUGUCUCAAAGAUUAAGCCAUGCAUGUCUAAGUAUAAAUAGUAUACAGUGAAACUGCGAAUGGCUCAUUAAAACAGUUAUAGUUUAUUUGAUAAUUGACAAUUACAUGGAUAACCGUGGUAAUUCUAGAGCUAAUACAUGCUUAAACGCCCGACUUUAUGGAAGGGUGGUAUUUAUUAGACUGAAGCCAAUACUCCUUGUGUCUAUUGCGGUGAUUCAUAAUAACUGAUCGAAUCUCUUUUUGAGAUAAAUCAUUCAAGUUUCUGCCCUAUCAGCUUUCGAUGGUAGUGUAUUGGACUACCAUGGCAGUAACGGGUAACGAAGAAUUAGGGUUCGAUUUCGGAGAGGGAGCAUGAGAAACGGCUACCACAUCUAAGGAAGGCAGCAGGCGCGUAAAUUACCCAAUCCUGACUCAGGGAGGUAGUGACAAGAAAUAGCAAACCGGGAACCUCAUGGUUUCACGGUAUUGCAAUGAGAACAAUUUAAAACCCUUAGCGAGAAUCAAGUGGAGGACAAGUCUGGUGCCAGCACCCGCGGUAAUUCCAGCUCCACUAGCGUAUAUUAAAGUUGUUGCAGUUAAAAAGCUCGUAGUUGAACCUCUGUCUGGGGCUAGUUUUGGCUUUGGUCAGGCUAGUUCUAGGCAUCCGUCUACAAGACUUAGAGGGCAUUCAGUUGUUCACUAGGAGGAGUAGGCAUUUUACUUUGAAAAAAUUAGAGUGUUUAAGGCAGGCAAUCGCCCGCAUAUAUUAGCAUGGAAUAAUAGAAUAGGACACUUUUCCAUUUCGUUGGUUAUUGGAAUCGUGUAAUGAUUAAUAGGGACAGUUGUGGGCAUUUGUAUUUAAUUGUCAGAGGUGAAAUUCUUGGAUUUAUUAAAGACAAACUAACGCGAAAGCAUUUGCCAAGGAUGUUUUCAUUAAUCAAGAACGAAAGUUAGGGGAUCAAAGACGAUCAGAUACCGUCCUAGUCUUAACUAUAAACUAUUCCGACUCAAUGUUUGACUGGCUUAUAUAACCAGUUGAGCGUUGUAUGAGAAAUCAAAGUCUUUAGGUUCUGGGGGGAGUAUGGUUGCAAAGCUGAAACUUAAAGGAAUUGACGGAAGAGCACAACCAGGAGUGGAUUCUGCGGCUUAAUUUGACUCAACACGGGGGAAACUUACCAGGUUAAAACAAUAGUGGGAUUGACAGUUUGAGAGCGCUUUCUUGAUUGGUUGGGUGGUGGUGCAUGGCCG